This 851-nucleotide ribosomal RNA is filed under the name uncultured bacterium. RNAcentral describes it as "bacterial SSU rRNA". It matches the Rfam family "Bacterial small subunit ribosomal RNA", at positions 54 to 879 of the family's 1533-position model. The record is from RNAcentral.
CCUGCAGUCGACGCGGUUUCCCGCAAGGGGAAACUGAGUGGCGAACGGGUGAGUAACACGUGGGUGACCUACCUUCGAGUGGGGGAUAACGUCCCGAAAGGGACGCUAAUACCGCAUAACAUCCUGCCUUUGAACAGGCGGAGAUCAAAGCCGGGGAUCGUAAGACCUGGCGCUUGAUGAGGGGCCCGCGUCCGAUUAGCUAGUUGGUGAGGUAAUGGCUCACCAAGGCAACGAUCGGUAGCCGGCCUGAGAGGGCGGACGGCCACACUGGGACUGAGACACGGCCCAGUCUCCUACGGGAGGCAGCAGUGGGGAAUUGUUCGCAAUGGGCGCAAGCCUGACGACGCAACGCCGCGUGGAGGAUGAAGGUCUUCGGAUUGUAAACUCCUGUUGCCCGGGACGAAUGGCCACGACCUAACACGUCGUGGUGUGACGGUACCGGGUGAGGAAGCCCCGGCUAACUCUGUGCCAGCAGCCGCGGUAAUACAGAGGGGGCAAGCGUUGUUCGGAAUUACUGGGCAUAAAGGGCGCGUAGGCGGCCUGUUAAGUCGAACGUGAAAAUCCCCGGGCUCAACCCGGGAACUGCGUCCGAUACUGGGCAGGCUCGAAUUCGGGAGAGGGAUGCGGAAUUCCAGGUGUAGCGGUGAAAUGCGUAGAUAUCUGGAGGAACACCGGUGGCGAAGGCGGCAUCCUGGACCGACAUUGACCCUGAUGCCCGAAAACCCAGGGGAGCAAACGGGAAUAAAAUACCCCCGGUAUUCCUGGCCCUAAACAAUAAAUGCUUGGUGUGGCCGGGUAUCCAUCCCCUGCCCUGGCCAAAGCUAACCCAUUUAAGCAUUCCCCCCUGGGGA